RNAcentral lists this ribosomal RNA (301 nucleotides) under uncultured bacterium. Its description in RNAcentral is "partial 16S ribosomal RNA". It matches the Rfam family "Bacterial small subunit ribosomal RNA", at positions 509 to 807 of the family's 1533-position model. The record is from RNAcentral.
CAGUCGCCGCGGUAAUACGUAGGGUGCGAGCGUUAAUCGGAAUUACUGGGCGUAAAGCGGGCGCAGACGGUUACUUAAGCAGGAUGUGAAAUCCCCGGGCUCAACCUGGGAAUUGCGUUCUGAACUGGGUGGCUAGAGUGUGUCAGAGGGGGGUAGAAUUCCACGUGUAGCAGUGAAAUGCGUAGAGAUGUGGAGGAAUACCGAUGGCGAAGGCAGCCCCCUGGGCCUGCACUGACGCUCAUGCACGAAAGCGUGGGGAGCAAACAGGAUUAGAUACCCCAGUAGUCCCUGUCUCUUAUAC